This 320-nucleotide long non-coding RNA is filed under the name Monodelphis domestica (gray short-tailed opossum). RNAcentral's name for it is "lncRNA (ENSMODG00000041747.1)". The record is from RNAcentral. Lineage: Eukaryota; Metazoa; Chordata; Mammalia; Didelphimorphia; Didelphidae.
AUGAAGCCAUUCCAUGGUGCCAUUGCUGUGUUCUGUCUCUAUGGUGUCUGUUCUGUCUUGUUCUUAGGUGGAUUUUGCAAAAGGUGGGGAAAGCAACCAGAGAGAGAGAGAGUCAUUGCCAGCAGCCAAGUUAAAAGAAGCAUCAGCACCACCCUGCCUGACCUGGCCCAACAGAUAGAUACUAAGAUGCCAUGUUCUACUGUGACAAGGGAGCCAUGCUAUCUGGAGUUAACUUAGGAGGAAAAAGGCUCUUCUAGGAAAUGAGGGUAAUAUAAAACAAAAGACAUCAAUAAAAACAACUUUAAAAGAAAAAAGGCCCA